GUGGGGAAUAUUGGACAAUGGGCGCAAGCCUGAUCCAGCCAUACCGCGUGGGUGAAGAAGGCCUUCGGGUUGUAAAGCCCUUUUGUUGGGAAAGAAAUCCUGUCGGUUAAUACCUGGCGGGGAUGACGGUACCCAAAGAAUAAGCACCGGCUAACUUCGUGCCAGCAGCCGCGGUAAUACGAAGGGUGCAAGCGUUACUCGGAAUUACUGGGCGUAAAGCGUGCGUAGGUGGUGGGUUAAGUCCGUUGUGAAAGCCCUGGGCUCAACCUGGGAAUUGCAGUGGAUACUGGAUCACUAGAGUGUGGUAGAGGGAUGCGGAAUUUCUGGUGUAGCAGUGAAAUGCGUAGAGAUCAGAAGGAACAUCCGUGGCGAAGGCGGCAUCCUGGGCCAACACUGACACUGAGGCACGAAAGCGUGGGGAGCAAACAGGAUUAGAAACCCGGGUAGUCC
RNAcentral lists this ribosomal RNA (450 nucleotides) under uncultured bacterium. RNAcentral describes it as "partial 16S ribosomal RNA". It matches the Rfam family "Bacterial small subunit ribosomal RNA", at positions 354 to 796 of the family's 1533-position model. The record is from RNAcentral.